AGGACCGAUGAUGAGAACUGGUGGCGCAUGAUCAGAGAUGAUGAAUAGUACAUGUGUCUGGAAGUCUGAGGUCCAG
Molecule: small nucleolar RNA, 76 nt
Filed under: Dasypus novemcinctus (nine-banded armadillo)
Lineage: Eukaryota; Metazoa; Chordata; Mammalia; Cingulata; Dasypodidae
Description: Small nucleolar RNA SNORD113/SNORD114 family (ENSDNOG00000045024.1)
Rfam family: Small nucleolar RNA SNORD113/SNORD114 family
About the family: The imprinted human domain at 14q32 contains two clusters of tandemly repeated small nucleolar RNAs named 14q(I) and 14q(II) snoRNAs. These two clusters are named SNORD113 and SNORD114 respectively in the HGNC approved gene symbol nomenclature. The snoRNAs found in both clusters are clearly related and are represented here by a single family.
Source: RNAcentral